GUCCUAGGAUCAGCGCACGGUGUCGCGUAACAGCGACUUAAAAGGGAACCAAGUGAAACGCUUGGACUGCCCCCGCAACUGUAAGCGGCGAGCGCGCGGGAAACACCACUGGCCACCCGGCUGGGAAGGUCCCAAGCGCCCCGACCCGCAAGUCAGGAGACCUGCCGUAAAACCACAGGGCCUA
This 184-nucleotide non-coding RNA is filed under the name Pseudosulfitobacter pseudonitzschiae. Lineage: Bacteria; Pseudomonadati; Pseudomonadota; Alphaproteobacteria; Rhodobacterales; Roseobacteraceae. The record is from RNAcentral.